RNAcentral lists this ribosomal RNA (436 nucleotides) under uncultured bacterium. RNAcentral's name for it is "bacterial SSU rRNA". It matches the Rfam family "Bacterial small subunit ribosomal RNA", at positions 958 to 1393 of the family's 1533-position model. The record is from RNAcentral.
AACGCGAAGAACCUUACCUGGCCUUGACAUGUACGUAGUAGAAGGGCGAAAGCCUGACGAGGUAGCAAUACCAGCGUACACAGGUGCUGCAUGGCUGUCGUCAGCUCGUGUCGUGAGAUGUUGGGUUAAGUCCCGCAACGAGCGCAACCCUUGUCAUUAAUUGCCAUCAUUUGGUUGGGCACUUUAAUGAGACUGCCGGUGACAAACCGGAGGAAGGUGGGGAUGACGUCAAGUCCUCAUGGCCCUUAUGGGUAGGGCUUCACACGUCAUACAAUGGUCGGUACAGAGGGUUGCUAAGCCGCGAGGUGGAGCCAAUCCCAGAAAACCGAUCGUAGUCCGGACCGCAGUCUGCAACUCGACUGCGUGAAGUCGGAAUCGCUAGUAAUCGCGGAUCAGAAUGCCGCGGUGAAUACGUUCCCGGGUCUUGUACACACGC